AUAGGCUUGGUCGACACGGGUUAAAGUGUAGUAUCUGUUCUUAUCAGCUUAAUAUGUGAUACGAGUUGUAUUGGGACUGCAGAUAACAAACUUAUUGUCCAAGUUGGCGGAAUGCUUGAAGCCUGCUUCACCUCCGUCGCGGGUCGGCCCAGUAUUGCAUUAUCUUCGAGAUCAGGCGACGGUUU
Molecule: non-coding RNA, 185 nt
Organism: Dermacentor andersoni
Lineage: Eukaryota; Metazoa; Arthropoda; Arachnida; Ixodida; Ixodidae
Source: RefSeq, a predicted model, not a curated record